ACUCCUACGGGAGGUAGCAGUGGGGAAUCUUGCCAAUGGGCGAAAGCCUGAUGCAGCGACGCCGCGUGGGGGAUGAAGGCCUUAGGGUCGUAAACCCCUUUCAGUAGGGACGAAAAUGACGGUACCUACAGAAGAAGCCCCGGCCAACUACGUGCCAGCAGCCGCGGUAAGACGUAGGGGGCGAGCGUUGUCCGGAUUUAUUGGGCGUAAAGGGCUCGUAGGUGGUUGCGUAAGUCGGAUGUGAAAACUCUAGGCUCAACUUGGAGACGCCAUCCGAUACUGCGCUGACUUGAGUCCGGUAGAGGAGUGUGGAAUUUCUAGUGUAGCGGUGAAAUGCGCAGAUAUUAGAAGGAACACCUAUUGCGAAGGCAGCACUCUGGGCCGGCACUGACACUGAGGAGCGAAAGCGUGGGUAGCAAACAGGAUUAGAUACCCUGGUAGUC
RNAcentral lists this ribosomal RNA (443 nucleotides) under uncultured bacterium. RNAcentral's name for it is "bacterial SSU rRNA". It matches the Rfam family "Bacterial small subunit ribosomal RNA", at positions 335 to 795 of the family's 1533-position model. The record is from RNAcentral.